AAUGCAUACUGCCGAGAUUUUAGAAUUUAUCAAUUCAAAACAUCUUUAAAAAAGAUUUUUUUUGAUAGAUUACAAAACAUUAAUAAUUGAUUUUAAAUCACUAAUUGGAUAACAUCCCCUUAAUGUUACUGGAUACUUGCUAUUAAAUUAUUACAUGACUUAAUUUACUUAAUUUUUUUCUGUUCCAUCUAAGUUUCCAAUCCUUCUUACACAUGUGGCAAAGAAAAAAAUGUGUGGAACCCAAAAGGUUGCAUGAUAGUGAGCAACAAGAGCUGACUGCAUUAAUUGUGAUAAAACCUCAAAAUUAUUCUAGGUGUUCGAGAGGCAUUACCAACUAAACAUGGUGAAGGGUUUAUAGUUAAAAAGUUUAUUUAAUUAAUAAUUUUCACUGAUUUAUGAAAAUAAUAAUAAGAAAAUAUUUAUGAAAAACUAGAAUUGAAAAUCUAUAGUCUCAGGUCAUGCAAACUGUUGUCGACUCAUGAGGUCAAAGAUU
This 493-nucleotide long non-coding RNA is filed under the name Brassica napus (rape). RNAcentral's name for it is "long non-coding RNA (BNAP_LNC019040)". The record is from RNAcentral. Lineage: Eukaryota; Viridiplantae; Streptophyta; Magnoliopsida; Brassicales; Brassicaceae.